RNAcentral lists this ribosomal RNA (114 nucleotides) under Lysinibacillus fusiformis. The record is from RNAcentral. Lineage: Bacteria; Bacillati; Bacillota; Bacilli; Caryophanales; Bacillaceae.
UCUAGUGAUGAUGGCAAAGAGGUCACACCCGUUCCCAUACCGAACACGGAAGUUAAGCUCUUUAGCGCCGAUGGUAGUUGGGGGCUUCCCNGAAAGACCAGAGAAUUUUUUCUC